This 28-nucleotide small RNA is filed under the name Bombyx mori (domestic silkworm). RNAcentral's name for it is "ovarian small RNA-7588". Lineage: Eukaryota; Metazoa; Arthropoda; Insecta; Lepidoptera; Bombycidae. The record is from RNAcentral.
UCGCGUAUAUUGAUGAGAGAGAAUCGGU